This 484-nucleotide ribosomal RNA is filed under the name uncultured bacterium. Its description in RNAcentral is "partial 16S ribosomal RNA". It matches the Rfam family "Bacterial small subunit ribosomal RNA", at positions 30 to 507 of the family's 1533-position model. The record is from RNAcentral.
AUUGAACGCUGGCGGCAGGCCUAACACAUGCAAGUCGAGCGGAUGAAGGGAGCUUGCUCCUGGAUUCAGCGGCGGACGGGUGAGUAAUGCCUAGGAAUCUUCCUGGUAGUGGGGGAUAACGUCCGGAAACGGGCGCUAAUACCGCAUACGUCCUGAGGGAGAAAGUGGGGGAUCUUCGGACCUCACGCUAUCAUAUGAGCCUAGGUCGGAUUAGCUAGUUGGUGGGGUAAAGGCCUACCAAGGCGACGAUCCGUAACUGGUCUGAGAGGAUGAUCAGUCACACGGGAAGGGAGACACGGUCAAGACUCCUACGGGAGGCAGCAGUGGGGAAUAUUGGACAGUGGGCGAAAGCCUGAUCCAGCCAUGCCGCGUGUGUGAAGAAGGUCUUCGGAUUGUAAAGCACUUUAAGUUGGGAGGAAGGGCAGUAAGUUAAUACCUUGCUGUUUUGACGUUACCAACAGAAUAAGCACCGGCUAACUUCGUG